CCUACGGGAGGCAGCAGUGGGGAAUAUUGGGCAAUGGGCGAAAGCCUGACGCAGCGACGCCGCGUGAGGGAUGAAGGUCUUCGGAUCGUAAACCUCUGUCAGCAGGGAAGAACGGUCACUGUGCUAAUCAGCAGUGAAUUGACGGUACCUGCAAAGGAAGCACCGGCUAACGCCGUGCCAGCAGCCGCGGUAAUACGGAGGGUGCGAGCGUUAAUCGGAAUUACUGGGCGUAAAGCGCUCGUAGGCGGUAUGUCAAGUCAAGGGUGAAAUCCCCGCGCUCAACGUGGGAACUGCCUUUGAAACGGGCAAACUGGAGUGUGUGAGAGGAGAGUGGAAUUCCAGGUGUAGGAGUGAAAUGCGUAGAUAUCUGGAGGAACAUCAGUGGCGAAGGCGACUAUCUGGCACAUAACUGACGCUGAGGAGCGAAAGCGUGGGUAGCAAACAGGAUUAGAUACCCCUGUAGUC
Molecule: ribosomal RNA, 465 nt
Filed under: uncultured bacterium
Lineage: Bacteria
Description: partial 16S ribosomal RNA
Rfam family: Bacterial small subunit ribosomal RNA
Source: RNAcentral